GUGUCAUCGCCUCCAUCUCCUUCCUCUGGCCAUCAAGCUUUUUAGUUUGUAGAGGAGGAGUGUAGAGGAAGCAGGGGUCAGGUAAUUGUCAGAAAAGAAGUAGAGGUCGGAAUGAAACAAUAGAAAUUGGAGGGUAGGAGAAUGUGUUUUCAAAGUUAUUUGAAGCAAGUGAGGGCAUUUGGUCAUUGAAAUAGCAAUUGGAGGGUAGCAGUGUAUACUUUCAAAGUUACGUGAAGCAAGUGAGGGCAUUUGGUCAUUUGAAUUGGCAGGCUAACAACGUUUGCUAGUUGGUUGCAGGCUCGAAGAAUCCAUUUGAAAAUUUCUAAAAAUAAAAGAUGUGUGAGAAUGUCCAAACUUGAGAAGAUGAAACUAUAAUUUUUCUAAAUUAUUAAAUAUUGCUAUCAUAUUUGCCUCUAAACUAUGUCUCUUCAAUUUUCUUCCCUCAAUAUCUCCUUCAGUUGUGGUGUGAUAAUA
RNAcentral lists this long non-coding RNA (474 nucleotides) under Phoenix dactylifera (date palm). RNAcentral's name for it is "long non-coding RNA (PDAC_LNC022055)". The record is from RNAcentral. Lineage: Eukaryota; Viridiplantae; Streptophyta; Magnoliopsida; Arecales; Arecaceae.